Molecule: ribosomal RNA, 119 nt
Filed under: Pogona vitticeps (central bearded dragon)
Lineage: Eukaryota; Metazoa; Chordata; Lepidosauria; Squamata; Agamidae
Source: RNAcentral
CCUCCUUGACAUACCACCCUAAAUGCACCCAUCUCAUCUGAUUUCAGAAGCUACACACAGCUGGGCCUGGUUAGUACUUGGGUGAGGGACCAUUAGGGAUUCUUCUCGUAAAAUGAGGA